UACGUAGGGUGCAAGCGUUGUCCGGAAUUAUUGGGCGUAAAGAGCUCGUAGGCGGUUUGUCGCGUCGACUGUGAAAACCCGAGGCUUAACCUCGGGCCUGCAGUCGAUACGGGCAGACUAGAGUGCGGUAGGGGUGACUGGAAUUCCUGGUGUAGCGGUGGAAUGCGCAGAUAUCAGGAGGAACACCGAUGGCGAAGGCAGGUCACUGGGCCGCAACUGACGCUGAGGAGCGAAAGCAUGGGGAGCGAACAGG
Molecule: ribosomal RNA, 253 nt
Filed under: uncultured bacterium
Lineage: Bacteria
Description: partial 16S ribosomal RNA
Rfam family: Bacterial small subunit ribosomal RNA
Source: RNAcentral